GGUUUGAUCAUGGCCUGCUAGAUUGAACGCUUUUGCGGAUGUUUUACGCACAUAAGUCAGCCUGCAGCACGGACUCCCGGUCUGGUGGCGAUAUGAACGGGUAUACGUAUCGGAACGUGCCUAGAUAACUACGCGAAAGCGUGCAGCUAAUACCGGGCAUACGCCCUUCGGGGAAAGUUGGGACCUUCGGGCCUGCACUAUUAGAGCGGCCGAUAUCGGAUUAGCUAGUUGGUGGGGUAAUGGCUCACCAAGGUUGACGAUCCGUAGCUGGUUUGAGAGGACGACCAUUGCCACUGGGACUGAGACACGGCCCAGACUUACGCCAGGAGGCAGCAGUGGGGAAUUCUUGGACAAUGGGGGAAAACCCCUGAUCCAGCCAUCCCGCGUGUGCGAUGAAGGCCUUCGGGUUGUGAAGCAGACCUUUGGCAGGAGUGCUGAACGGCACGGGAGGUCAUCGUGCAACUGACGGUACCUGCUGCAGAAUAAGCACCGGCUAACUACGUGCCAGCAGCCGCGGUAAUACAGCCGUAGGGUGCAAGCGUUAAUCGAAUUACUGGGCGAAGCGUGCAGGCGGUUCGGAAAGAAAGAUGUGAAAUCCCAGAGCUUAACUUUGGAACUGCAUUUUUAACUACCGAGCUAGAGUGUGUCAGAGGGAGGUGGAAUUCCGCGUGUGUAGCAGUGAAAUGCGUAGAUAUGCGGAGGAACACCGAUGGCGAAGGCAGCUCUCUGGGAGCAAUAACACUGACGCUCAUGCACGCGGGGACAAACAGGAUUAGAUACCCUGGUAGUCCACGCCCUAAACGAUGUCAACUAGCUGUUGGGGCCUUUCGGGCCUUGGUAGCGCAGCUAACGCGGGUGAAGUUGACCGCCUGGGGAGUACGGUCGCAAGAUUAAACUCAAAGGAAUUGACGGGACCCGCACAAGCGGUGGAUGAUGUGGAUUAAUUCGAUGCAACGCGAAAACCUUACCCUACCCUUGACAUGUCUGGAAUCCCGAAGAGAUUUGGGAGUGCUCGCAAGAGAACCGAACACAGGUGCUGUAUGCAUGUCGUCAGCUCGUGUCGUGAGAUGUUGGGUUAAGUCCCGCAACGAGCGCAACCCUUGUCAUUAGUUGCUACGAAAGGGUACUCUAAUGAGAUCAAGCCAGACAAACCGGAGGAAGGUGGGGAUGACGUCAAGUCCUCAUGGCCCUUAUGGCAGGGCCACACGUCAUACAAUGGUCGGGACAGAGGGUCGCCAACCCGCGAGGGGGAGCUAAUCCCGCAGAAACCCGAUCGUAGUCCGAUCGCAGUCUGCAACUCACUGCGUGAAGUCGGAACUGCUAGUAAUCGCGGAUCAGCAUGUCGCGGUGAAUAUUAGUUCCCGGUCUUGUACACACCGCCCGUCACACCAUGGGAGUGGGUUUUACCAGAAGUAGUUAGCCUAACCGUAAGGAGGGCGAUUACCAUUGGUAGGAUUCAUGACUGGGGUGAAGUCGUAACAAGGUAA
Molecule: ribosomal RNA, 1487 nt
Filed under: uncultured Bordetella sp.
Lineage: Bacteria; Pseudomonadati; Pseudomonadota; Betaproteobacteria; Burkholderiales; Alcaligenaceae
Description: partial 16S-23S ribosomal RNA intergenic spacer
Rfam family: Bacterial small subunit ribosomal RNA
Source: RNAcentral